RNAcentral lists this ribosomal RNA (908 nucleotides) under Cladoriella paleospora. RNAcentral's name for it is "partial 28S large subunit ribosomal RNA". It matches the Rfam family "Eukaryotic large subunit ribosomal RNA", at positions 35 to 968 of the family's 3401-position model. The record is from RNAcentral. Lineage: Eukaryota; Fungi; Ascomycota; Dothideomycetes.
UAAGCAUAUCAAUAAGCGGAGGAAAAGAAACCAACAGGGAUUGCCCCAGUAACGGCGAGUGAAGCGGCAACAGCUCAAAUUUGAAAUCUGGCGCCCUCGGCGCCCGAGUUGUAAUUUGCAGAGGAUGCCUCGGUGCCCGCCCGGUCUAAGUCCACUGGAACGUGGCGCCUUUGAGGGUAAGAGCCCCGUUCGCGACCGGGACCGGCCACCGUGUGAGGCUCCUUCGACGAGUCGAGUUGUUUGGGAAUGCAGCUCUAAAUGGGAGGUAAAUUUCUUCUAAAGCUAAAUACCGGCCAGAGACCGAUAGCGCACAAGUAGAGUGAUCGAAAGAUGAAAAGCACUUUGAAAAGAGAGUUAAAAAGUACGUGAAAUUGUUGAAAGGGAAGCGCCUGCGACCAGACUCACCGCGGAGGCUCAGCCUGUCUUCUGACUGGUGUAUCCCCCGCGGCGAGGCCAGCAUCGGUUUGGGCGGCUGGGGAAGCGGCCGGGGAACGUAGCUCCUCUCGGGGAGUGUUAUAGCCCCGGUCCCGAUACAGCCCGCCCGGACCGAGGACCGCGUUCGCUAGGAUGCUGGCGUAAUGGUCGUCGGCGGCCCGUCUUGAAACACGGACCAAGGAGUCUAAUAUCUGUGCGAGUGUUAGGGUGUCAAACCCUUACGCGUAAUGAAAGUGAACGGAGGUGGGAGCCCUCGGGCGCACCAUCGACCGAUCCGGAUGUCUUCGGAUGGAUUUGAGUAAGAGCAUAGCUAUUGGGACCCGAAAGAUGGUGAACUAUGCCUGAAUAGGGUGAAGCCAGAGGAAACUCUGGUGGAGGCUCGCAGCGGUUCUGACGUGCAAAUCGAUCGUCAAAUUUGGGCAUAGGGGCGAAAGACUAAUCGAACCAUCUAGUAGCUGGUUCCUGCCGAAGUU